RNAcentral lists this ribosomal RNA (497 nucleotides) under uncultured bacterium. RNAcentral's name for it is "partial 16S ribosomal RNA". It matches the Rfam family "Bacterial small subunit ribosomal RNA", at positions 28 to 507 of the family's 1533-position model. The record is from RNAcentral.
GAGGAAAGCGGGCGGCGUGCCUAAUACAUGCAAGUCGAGCGAACAGACGAGGAGCUUGCUCCUCUGACGUUAGCGGCGGACGGGUGAGUAACACGUGGAUAACCUACCUAUAAGACUGGGAUAACUUCGGGAAACCGGAGCUAAUACCGGAUAAUAUAUUGAACCGCAUGGUUCAAUAGUGAAAGACGGUUUUGCUGUCACUUAUAGAUGGAUCCGCGCCGCAUUAGCUAGUUGGUAAGGUAACGGCUUACCAAGGCGACGAUGCGUAGCCGACCUGAGAGGGUGAUCGGCCACACUGGAACUGAGACACGGUCCAGACUCCUACGGGAGGCAGCAGUAGGGAAUCUUCCGCAAUGGGCGAAAGCCUGACGGAGCAACGCCGCGUGAGUGAUGAAGGUCUUCGGAUCGUAAAACUCUGUUAUUAGGGAAGAACAAAUGUGUAAGUAACUAUGCACGUCUUGACGGUACCUAAUCAGAAAGCCACGGCUAACUACGUG